GACACUAUGGCCGAGCGGUUAAGGCGUGUGACUAGAAUUUAUUCCCGAAAUCACAUCUCUUCGGAGGCGUCGGUUCAAAUCCGACUGGUGUCG
Molecule: transfer RNA, 93 nt
Organism: Cladophialophora psammophila CBS 110553
Lineage: Eukaryota; Fungi; Ascomycota; Eurotiomycetes; Chaetothyriales; Herpotrichiellaceae
Rfam family: tRNA
About the family: Transfer RNA (tRNA) molecules are approximately 80 nucleotides in length. Their secondary structure includes four short double-helical elements and three loops (D, anti-codon, and T loops). Further hydrogen bonds mediate the characteristic L-shaped molecular structure. tRNAs have two regions of fundamental functional importance: the anti-codon, which is responsible for specific mRNA codon recognition, and the 3' end, to which the tRNAs corresponding amino acid is attached (by aminoacyl-tRNA synthetases). tRNAs cope with the degeneracy of the genetic code in two manners: having more than one tRNA (with a specific anti-codon) for a particular amino acid; and 'wobble' base-pairing, i.e. permitting non-standard base-pairing at the 3rd anti-codon position.
Source: Rfam